This 65-nucleotide transfer RNA is filed under the name Calophyllum soulattri. Its description in RNAcentral is "tRNA-Glu". It matches the Rfam family "tRNA". Rfam says of the family: Transfer RNA (tRNA) molecules are approximately 80 nucleotides in length. Lineage: Eukaryota; Viridiplantae; Streptophyta; Magnoliopsida; Malpighiales; Calophyllaceae. The record is from RNAcentral.
GAAUGGAUGGUACAAAGUCCUCCAGCCUUUCAAGCUUGAUAUUGGUUCAAAUCCAAUUCUAUUUG